AGCGAACGCUGGCGGCAGGCUUAACACAUGCAAGUCGAACGGGCGUAGCAAUACGUCAGUGGCAGACGGGUGAGUAACGCGUGGGAACGUACCUUUUGGUUCGGAACAACCCAGGGAAACUUGGGCUAAUACCGGAUAAGCCCUUACGGGGAAGGAUUAUCGCCGAAAGAUCGGCCCGCGUCUGAUUAGCUAGUUGGUGAGGUAACGGCUCACCAAGGCGACGAUCAGUAGCUGGUCUGAGAGGANGAUCAGCCACACUGGGACUGAGACACGGCCCAGACUCCUACGGGAGGCAGCAGUGGGGAAUAUUGGGACAAUGGGCGGCAAGCCUGAUCCAGCAAUGCCGCGUGAGUGAGGAA
Molecule: ribosomal RNA, 359 nt
Filed under: uncultured bacterium
Lineage: Bacteria
Description: bacterial SSU rRNA
Rfam family: Bacterial small subunit ribosomal RNA
Source: RNAcentral